RNAcentral lists this transfer RNA (67 nucleotides) under Dicronychus cinereus. RNAcentral's name for it is "tRNA-Ser". The record is from RNAcentral. RNAcentral also lists the same sequence under 1 other name. Lineage: Eukaryota; Metazoa; Arthropoda; Insecta; Coleoptera; Elateridae.
GAAAUAUGGAAUACGAGAAAAAGCUUCUAACUUGAUUCUCUAGCGGUGAAAUUCCGUUAAUAUUUCU